This 69-nucleotide transfer RNA is filed under the name Rattus norvegicus (Norway rat). It matches the Rfam family "tRNA". From Rfam's summary of the family: Transfer RNA (tRNA) molecules are approximately 80 nucleotides in length. Their secondary structure includes four short double-helical elements and three loops (D, anti-codon, and T loops). Further hydrogen bonds mediate the characteristic L-shaped molecular structure. tRNAs have two regions of fundamental functional importance: the anti-codon, which is responsible for specific mRNA codon recognition, and the 3' end, to which the tRNAs corresponding amino acid is attached (by aminoacyl-tRNA synthetases). tRNAs cope with the degeneracy of the genetic code in two manners: having more than one tRNA (with a specific anti-codon) for a particular amino acid; and 'wobble' base-pairing, i.e. permitting non-standard base-pairing at the 3rd anti-codon position. The record is from Rfam by way of RNAcentral. Lineage: Eukaryota; Metazoa; Chordata; Mammalia; Rodentia; Muridae.
GGGGAUUUAGCUCAGUGGUAGAGCGCUUGCCUAGGAAGCGCAAGGCCCUGGGUUCUAUUCCCAGCUCCG